UACAGAGGUCCCAAGCGUUGUUCGGAUUCACUGGGCGUAAAGGGUGCGUAGGCGGUCGGGUAAGUCUGAUGUGAAAUCUCACAGCUUAACUGUGAAACUGCAUUGGAUACUAUCCGGCUCGAGGAAUGGAGGGGAGACUGGAAUACUUGGUGUAGCAGUGAAAUGCGUAGAUAUCAAGUGGAACACCAGUGGCGAAGGCGAGUCUCUGGACAUUUCCUGACGCUGAGGCACGAAGCCAGGGGAGCAAACGGG
This 252-nucleotide ribosomal RNA is filed under the name uncultured bacterium. RNAcentral's name for it is "partial 16S ribosomal RNA". It matches the Rfam family "Bacterial small subunit ribosomal RNA", at positions 524 to 776 of the family's 1533-position model. The record is from RNAcentral.